CUUGGCUUCUGCCUCUGCUUUUUUCAGCCUCCAGCCAGCACCAAGUUGGAAGAUGCAUUGAAUCUCUUACCUCGAAGAUACGGCUUGUGGGCUUCCUUCCAGAGCGCUCCUCUCCAACCCCAGUCGAUGUUCCCAAGAAAACUCUCUCGAGUGGCUUACUGAAGCUGUAUUUAUGCUACUUCUCCGAGAGUGGGAUUGUGGGAUAUCUCCCAGCAUGCUCUCUGGCCCUAAUGGAGAGACAUCUAGACACAGGAGAGAUGCUGCAAGAAUUUGGGAAAACUCAAAGCUUUAACCUGUUCAUAAUCUAGCGACACCUCUACCUCUAAAAAUCCUUCCUUGAGCAGAGAUACUUGGCUUGAGGAAAAUCCCCUUAAUGGAAAGCUUAAGGUGCUUAGGGUUUGCUGGAAGGGAAUCAAACUCCCUCUGCCCAGUCCCUCCAGAGACAAAGGACCUUCCUUUGCAUCUUAAGGCACUCUUAAACUCCUUUUUCUCCCACCAGACCUGAAUCCUAGGCUUUUUAGCUUUUUUAGGUUUCUGCUUUUAAAGCCUUGCCCUCCGGCAGGAACUCCAAGACUCCAGGAAGUGUCUGUUUAAAAAGCUGAACACCCUUCCUCCUCAGACCAAGGAAACACUUGGCCAUUCUGGGACUCAUGGUCCAAGGCCAGCACUCUCUUUGAUCUGUCCUGGGAGAUAAAUGGAGAAACUUAAGAGAAGCCAUACUUGAAUCCUUCUCCCACUCCACUAUUACAUACAGCUCCUGGGGUCUUUAAUGAUCAGGUUGUAGCCACGAGGAGAAAGGUCACUGAAUUGGGGUGAGCCUUGGAGACAUUUCUCUACCCUUGGCUGCUGCUCCUGGGACAGGGGUUGGGCCAUCUCCUUCAGGUCUUGCUCUCCCAGGAAGAUUUUGGCAUUUGGUUGGCUCCCCCUCCUCAAGUUCCAUUGUGGAAUCCUCGCUAUUUGGGAAGCAGCCAGGCUUCAAGCUGUGAAUUUCCAACUGCCCUCCAGCCUGCACAUGGGAACUGAUUGGGACACACGACACACAACUGCUGCUGUUUCGAGUUCUCACAUUCCCUCCUGGCUUGGAGCCCCCCAAAUCUCUACAAUCCUUGUCAGCUUGAAGCAGUCACAUGAAGUUGAGAUCUUCGUCCUUUUGCCCUUAAAUGAAUUUAAGUUUUAACUGCUUGUGGGGGAAAUGAAGCGGGUUGUGGUCUCUUUAAGAAACUGUAUUUCUUAUUGAUCUAUGAUCCCUUUCAGAUAGAUACUCAGCCCAUUCUUGGGGAAGGCAUAUCCUCCCUACAUAAGAUCUUUCCAGGAUGCCAGGGCCUUUGAUUCAAUUAAAAUCCUGGUCAAAAAAGCAUCCCUUUGAAUUCUAAUAGGAGAUCCAGGCUAUCCCAGCCCCCACUGAGUCUGAGCCAACUUGGGCUGUCCCAACUCCCACUGGUUGGCUUCCGUUAACAAAGGUCUUUUGCAGAUGGACCUUGGUAGCUCCCUUUACUGCCAGGACCUUCCGUCCACUGAGACCUGCAUUCUCAGUGCAAAACUCCAUUUUCCAUAGAUCUGCCACUAGAGAAGUCAGUCUCUUGGUAAACUGAUUUCUAUCUAAUUUUGUAGCUAAUAUUUCGGGAAUGAGUGAAUUCUUUUGCUCCUAAAACUUGUGGCCGAUUUAAAAGAGAUUCUUAACAACUCUCUUACAGUCACUAACCUCUAGACCACUAGGAAUCUAGACUACUCAAAUAGCAUUAAACAGUCUAAUUGUCUUUAGGAAGUUGUUGAACUCCUUUUGUGAUUCCAAAUUUCUUUUUUUUUUCUUUUUCUUUCCUUUUCCUUUCUUUCUUUCUUUCCUUUCUUUUCUUCUUCUUC
This 1860-nucleotide long non-coding RNA is filed under the name Sarcophilus harrisii (Tasmanian devil). Its description in RNAcentral is "lncRNA (ENSSHAG00000028442.1)". The record is from RNAcentral. Lineage: Eukaryota; Metazoa; Chordata; Mammalia; Dasyuromorphia; Dasyuridae.